RNAcentral lists this ribosomal RNA (433 nucleotides) under uncultured bacterium. RNAcentral describes it as "partial 16S ribosomal RNA". It matches the Rfam family "Bacterial small subunit ribosomal RNA", at positions 29 to 507 of the family's 1533-position model. The record is from RNAcentral.
AGCGAACGCUGGCGGCAGGCCUAACACAUGCAAGUCGAACGAACUCUUCGGAGUUAGUGGCGGAUGGGUGAGUAACACGUCGGAACGUGCCCUUGUGUUUGGCAUAACUCAGGGAAACUUGUGCUAAUACCGAAUGUGCCCUACGGGGGAAAGAUUUUUCGCAAUUAAAGCGUCCCGCGUCUGAUUAGCUAUUUGGUUAGGUAACGGCUCACCAAGGCGACGAUCAGUAGCUGGUCUGAGAGGAUGACCAGCCACACUGGGACUGAGACACGGCCCAGACUCCUACGGGAGGCAGCAGUGGGGAAUCUUGCGCAAUGGGCGAAAGCCUGACGCAGCCAUGCCGCGUGAAUGAUGAAGGUCUUAGGAUUGUAAAAUUCUUUCACCGGGGACGAUAAUGACGGUACCCGGAGAAGAAGCCCCGGCUAACUUCGUG